UAUAUAUAUAUAUAUAUAUAUAUAUAUAUAUAUAUAUAUGUGGACAUUCGGAAAGAUGCCAACUGUGUGCCCCAUUUGCGGAAUCUCAAAACACCAGCUACUAAAACACAGAGAGAAAUAGUAGAAAAUCUAUUAUAGUAGACAUAAUAGACCUUAACUGUAUAAUUAACUUUUGCAAUUGUCAUAAAACCUCAUGAAUAUAUGCCAAUAGUGACGAUGAACUUGAAGUGUGUUGAGUUUUUCCCCAUGGUAGCUAUUGCAAAACUGUCUGGUCAGGGUUAGCUUCGGUCUCCUCCUCUCUCUUCUUCCAUCAGUGGACAACAUCUUGAGUUUGUCGGUGCCCAAAUUGACAAAAAACAUAACUAAAAUGUGUCCCCAAUCAGAUAUUUCGGUAACAGCUUCCUGUUUAUAUGUGGCAUUUUGGGGACUUUUCGACAUUCAAAAGAUAGCAGUAUUUUGUUUGAAUUGUUAAUUGCCAUGACAACAGUGCUAUUUUUUUUUCUAAAAUCUCUAGAAGUGGCUAUGAUGCACUAAGAUGUGGUACCAAUCCAAAAAGUGUAUUUAUUUCAACAUUGUGUAGAUUUUGUCUUGCCAUUUUAGGAUUUUUCACCCACUAAAAACUUUGAUUUCAGUACAACUCUAUAAACUACUAAAGUUGACAAAACACACUGUUAAACUGUCAAAAUUGUGAGUAAAAUAUUCUAUUUUUUGAUUGUAUUGUAUUUGUGGUAUUUAAAAAGCAAAUAAUAAAUGUAUAGAUAUUCAGGUAGGACUUCAACAUUGCAAUGCAAUACAAGUAAUUCUAUCUGACAUUAAUAUUAAAGUAAUUAGUAAGUUAUUUGCCAUCUUUAAUGCUACAUAUCAACUUUGCAACAUAGUUUUUUUUUCACUUUUGGUCUAGACAGAAUGCCCCGUGCUCUUAUUAGGUCCCAUUAGUGUAAGGAAGCCUUAAACUUGGCCCACACUGUCGCCCCUUUAAAGGAAUGUGUCUGGACUUUGGGGGGAGGGUCUCGGCUGGGGUCACUUUUCCAAGAAGACGAAGAGCCAUAGUAGAUAGUUACAGGGCUGUACAUUGCAUUAUUAUAGACAGGACAAAACAGGGACAUCAAAGCUAGUUAGUGGGUAUACCAAUAAAUUACUUUUCUUCUCAGCUUCAAUUAUGCUAUUCUGUACACUAAAAUUGGGUUAAAGUGGGUUAAGAUUAACAUAGUCUUAAAUAAGGACUAAUCAACAGGGAGAAUACUGGAACAAAACAAUAACAAAAUAUCAGAUGUACUAGACUAGGACUAAACCAGGUGUAAAAACUGGAAGUAAAACAGUAAUACACAAAGAUCAGGACUAAAUGACACUGACUAAACCAGGACUCAACCUGGACUAAAUUAGUAAUCUGUUAUUAGUGAGGUCAGUUAGGCCCAUUGCCGUAGACAUGAACAGUUUAAAACUAAAUACCAUAUCUUUUGAAUGGGGGAAAAGUUGCAGAAGUUGCAGAUAACAGGAAGCAGAAACCCAGGGCAAGAACCAAAAGAGAACUUAACUAAAACAGGACUCCUGGGUUAACUAAGCACUAAAAUGAAACAAAACUGGUGCUAAACAAGAUCUAACCCAAACUAGAUCAGGACUGAACCAGGAUUUACUAGGAACUUAUUUCUCAGAGUUAAGAGUAAAUAUAAUACUGCUGCCACAAAUCCUCGCAACGAACUUGAGACCCACUUUUUGACACUUUCUAGGUUUUUCCGUCUCAUCUUUCGCCAUUGUCUCACCUGUCUCUUUUGAGGAAACUAGGUUGCAACUCAAAGCAGUGGCACUUAGCCGGGGCCUCAUAGCUAGCGUACAUGCUACUGCAGCUACUGCUGCUUAAUCUGCAUGAACGAACAAACAGCACAGGAUAGCCAGAGGAGGAAGAGGAUUGAGGGGUGCGUUUGGGGGGCUGAGUGGGUGGCCCGGACGCGAGGGGUACCACGGAGAGGCCAUUUUUUUUCUCUGGCUUUGUCCUGGGCUGUCAGAAUGGGGGCACACUGUUGUUGUUAUUGUAAGGCUAUGAGGCGAUGGCAUGCACUGUAUGGGAUAGACAGCACAAAAGGAGGAAAACAUAGGAUCAGCCUGGGACUAGUUGUUCACUAUUGGUGUCAUCUUGUAAUCCUAAAUGCUUUUGAGUUUUGAUGCCAUCAAGCUUCUUAGUGUUAUUAAUGAGCAACCAACAUAUUAUCAAAUCAAAAUGGCUGUAUUUAAACCAGGAGCAAAACAGGACUAUGCCAUUUUGAUCAAUAAAAAAGAAAACAAGCUUUCUCUAUUCUUGAAGUUAUUCCCAUUCUAAUAUUGUGGUACCCAUCCUUGGGUUUCAAAGUGAUGAAAAAUAUCCACCGUUGCCAUAGCAAUUAGGCUAGUAGAUCAAAACACAUUAUGAUAUCUUUUGAUUGGUCAAAAGUAGUCCAAAUGCCUGUAACAGGAAGCUAUAUUUUCUAUUAUACCGUAUAUUGUGCAGGCCUAAAAUUGAUCCCCCUUUGCUAUUUCCUACCAUGUUGUUGUUCUACCAGACGUUGAGAGAGGAGAGGACUUUUAAACGCGCCAGUUUCCAGAUGAAGAAGCGCUUUCUUUCUAUUGCCACUAAGGAGAUCCCUGAUUGCAAAUGUGUGUAAAUAAUUGUUUUCAAAAGAGAGAGAUAGAUAGACAGGGAUAGGGCCUUAGCUUAAAGUUUUUUAUGCAUCUACUCUUAAGAAAAUGCAACUGAAAAGACAUUCCACUGUGCUCCAUCCUACAACACUGAUGCAUUACUUCUACUUCCCUUUACCAUUUUAGGAAGACCAGGCUAAGGAGGAAAACUAGUGGACUCGAAAACUACCACAAAUGUACGCUCUAAGGUUGAAAAGUUAUGAAAGAAAAAUAUUUAACGUAUAAACUAAAGAUUUAUAUUCACUUUGUAAAUACAGUAGUCAUUAUUAAUAUAUUAACUGUUAAUCUUAAAAAGGUUAAUUAAUUUGGACCAGGUUAAGGCUUCAAACUACGAGGCCAUUUUGUUUUAUUUCUACUUGUAGAAAUAACUUGCGUGAAUGAACCGGGGAGUGAUAGAAAAAGCAUGGUUUAAGACACAGGACGAAUUACAAAAAUAGGAAAAUAUAUAUUGCUUUGUUACACCCCCAUUUUGACUAAAGAUAUCAUUUCAUGGUGGACUGAUUCAUGUAUAAUGUAAGCUUUUGUUAAGACAUUUGUUUAAGAAAAUGCAUUUGGGAAAGAAGAGAGAAUAUUCAACGUGAAAUAUUUUUGCAUGUUUUGCUAAUCCCCCAUUUUUGUCUCACAAGGGCCACUCUCUUUGCAAAUCUCUUGUAAAAUAAAUAAUGUCCCACUUAACGCACAGGCAUGAGUCUUGAACAUUGAUGUGUAAGUUUUCAUUCUGAUGGAUUUUGAUGUAGCCUAUAAGAUUGAAGAAUAUAUUUGUCUUACAUUUUGACAGACUCAAAGCAGCUAUUCAAAGGGAAAGACUAUUAUUAUUUCUGUAGCUGCAAACUUGUGUUUUCUGAAUCUCACUAUAUGCACUCAAAAGAUAAUCAGUAUUAACUUAAUUACCUCUAUCCAUAAUGUAAUAUUUGGCUUGCAGCGUUAUUUGCAUCUCGUACACUAGAGGGCACUGUUCAGGCUUUGCCGUAUUGGACAGUGUUAUGAAAAGGCUUUGGUUCUCAACUGGUGGAUGAUAUUAAAUUAUCCCAUUGAAUUUUAUAAUUUCAUAUAUUUACACUCUACAACUUCAUUUUAAACUAAUCAAAUUGCGUAACAUAUCAAAAUGUUGUAAUUUUGCUGAUUUUGUUUCAACUUUUGUGCUUGACUCCACCAAUUGUGAAUCAUUGCUUGUAUUGGAAUAUCCCUUCACAUUUGGGGAAUAUCUAGCCAUUGCUUCCUUAAUCAGAUUUAAGGUGGACUUUUUUAAGGGUGCUAUACGCUGUUGUCAAAUCAUGAAGCAAUCUUAAAGCCAAUGUGGUAGAGGUCAAAAUAAGUAAUCACUGCUUCCUUACUAAUAUUAGGUACAUGAUUUUUACUACAUUUAGAUAAGAGGAAAUCUCUAUUGACUCCCCUUAUGCUGUUAAAUAAGACAUUUUGCAGUGUCCUUAUGUGACCAUUGCAUAGUAUGUUGCCAAUACUUCGAAUACUCCGAGACUUUUGUUCUUGCAUGAAAUCGAGACACUGUUCUCCUACCUCAUGUUGUGAUAUGGAAAAGAUGUUUUUUAAAAAGCAGAAUACACUGCAUCUCUAAGUGUUUCUCAUCAGUCAUAUUUACCAGUAAAAAUGACAAACUUGUAAAUGCUUUUAGCUAAUACCUCAGUUGUAAAACUAGUGUUUGUUUGUUCGUUUUUAUGUUAUUCUUCUUGCCUCCCCUCUCCCCGAUUUCAGAUCUUGUAAAUAAAAACCCUGUAUAGAGACAAUGGACUUGGAUCAAAUUCAAGUAAAUUUCUGUAGUGUCAAAAUUAAA
Long non-coding RNA from Periophthalmus magnuspinnatus, 4459 nucleotides. RefSeq lists it as uncharacterized. Lineage: Eukaryota; Metazoa; Chordata; Actinopteri; Gobiiformes; Gobiidae. The record is from RefSeq and is a predicted model, not a curated record. The transcript has 2 exons.